CUCUCUCUCUCUCUCUCUCUCUCUCUUAAAGGAUUCCCCUUCAAAUCUCCUGUAGAUCCAUAGUUUCUCCUUCAUCAGAUAUUUGAUUGUAGUAUCACAAGUUUGGGAGAUAUUCUGCUAGAAUCUCCAGCAUAUUCAGUGAUGCUACAUCUCCAUAGAAAUUGACCCAGAUGGGGCCCAUAGAGGAGAAGUUAGACCUUGAAUCUGAUGAGGACAUCUCUUUCGUGUUAUCACCUGUGAGGAGCAAAGUACAUUCUUUUGAUUUUGAGACAACCAUUGUGGGCUCUCAUGCUGAUGUGGUCAAUUCACGGGCUUUGAAGCGAAUACUAAUGAGCCCUCUUAGGAGUAUUUAUAUCGUCUUAAUUAAAGCAAAGAUUAACUUGCUGCUAGUGUUUGGUCCCUCAGCAAUUUUUCUACAUUAUUUUACUAGAAAUCAUGAAUGGGUCUUCUUCCUAAGCUUACUGGGCAUCAUACCUUUGGCAGAACGUCUAGGUUACACAACUGAGCAGCUUGCAUUCUACACUGGACCUACAGUUGGUGGUCUUCUAAAUGCCACAUUUGGAAAUGCAACUGAAAUGAUAAUAUCAAUUUAUGCAUUGAAGAGUGGGAUGAUAAGAGUUGUUCAACAAUCUUUGUUAGGUUCUAUCUUGUCAAAUAUGCUUUUGGUGCUUGGAUGUUCUUUCUUCAGUGGUGGGAUUGCUAAUCACAAGCGGGUUCAGAAAUUUAAUAAGGCGGCUGCUCUAGUGAAUUCUGGAUUGCUUUUGAUGGCUGUAAUGGGGAUAAUGUUUCCAGCUGUGCUUCAUUUCACACACACAGAAAUUCAUUUUGGCAAGUCAGAGUUGUCUCUUUCAAGAUUUAGUAGCUGUAUAAUGCUAGUGGCAUAUGGAAGCUACCUUUUCUUUCAACUCAAAAGUCAACAUAAUCUCUAUCGUCCCGUUGAUGAG
RNAcentral lists this unclassified non-coding RNA (944 nucleotides) under Hevea brasiliensis (rubber tree). The record is from RNAcentral. Lineage: Eukaryota; Viridiplantae; Streptophyta; Magnoliopsida; Malpighiales; Euphorbiaceae.